Molecule: non-coding RNA, 135 nt
Organism: Triticum aestivum (bread wheat)
Lineage: Eukaryota; Viridiplantae; Streptophyta; Magnoliopsida; Poales; Poaceae
Source: Rfam
UAAAUACUCCCUCCGUCCCAAAAUUCUUGUCUUAGAUUUGUCUAGAUAUGGAUGUAUCUAAUACUAAAACGUGAGUUGAUACAUCCCUAUUUAGAAAAAUCUAAGACAAGAAUUUUGGGACGGAAGGAGUAUGUU